This 205-nucleotide long non-coding RNA is filed under the name Mytilus galloprovincialis (Mediterranean mussel). Lineage: Eukaryota; Metazoa; Mollusca; Bivalvia; Mytilida; Mytilidae. The record is from RNAcentral.
UUCCCCAAAAGUGAUACUUAUAUAAAAAAUAUAUAACAGAUCAAUAUUAAAGCAUGUAUGCAGUUUUGUUAAGACACAAGACCAGGUUCAUACCACUUAGAAAAUAAUUUUGCCCAAACAAUUCAUUCAAACACUCUAUAAACAUGAUACAUGUAGAAGUCUUACAUUUUGUUUACAUGUUGAUUAAUAUUACCAUGACGAUUAU